ACGGAGGGAGCUAGCGUUAUUCGGAAUUACUGGGCGUAAAGCGCACGUAGGCGGCUUUGUAAGUAAGAGGUGAAAGCCUGGAGCUCAACUCCAGAACUGCCUUCGAUACUGGGAGACUUGAGUUCGGGAGAGGUGAGUGGAACUGCGAGUGUAGAGGUGAAAUUCGUAGAUAUUCGCAAGAACACCAGUGGCGAAGGCGGCUCACUGGCCCGAUACUGACGCUGAGGUGCGAAAGCGUGGGGAGCAAACAGGA
Molecule: ribosomal RNA, 253 nt
Filed under: uncultured prokaryote
Description: partial 16S ribosomal RNA
Rfam family: Bacterial small subunit ribosomal RNA
Source: RNAcentral